CAGUAGCCGCGGUAAUACGUAGGUGGCAAGCGUUAUCCGGAAUUAUUGGGCGUAAAGCGCGCGUAGGCGGUUUUUUAAGUCUGAUGUGAAAGCCCACGGCUCAACCGUGGAGGGUCAUUGGAAACUGGAAAACUUGAGUGCAGAAGAGGAAAGUGGAAUUCCAUGUGUAGCGGUGAAAUGCGCAGAGAUAUGGAGGAACACCAGUGGCGAAGGCGGCUUUCUGGUCUGUAACUGACGCUGAUGUGCGAAAGCGUGGGGAUCAAACAGGAUUAGAUACCCCCGUAGUCCCUGUCUCUUAUAU
Molecule: ribosomal RNA, 301 nt
Filed under: uncultured bacterium
Lineage: Bacteria
Description: partial 16S ribosomal RNA
Rfam family: Bacterial small subunit ribosomal RNA
Source: RNAcentral